AGAGUUUGAUUAUGGCUCAGGAUGAACGCUGGCGGCGUGCUUAACACAUGCAAGUCGAACGGAGUUAGAGAGCUUGCUCUUUAAACUUAGUGGCGGACGGGUGAGUAACGCGUGGGUAACCUGCCUUUCACUGGGGGAUAACAGUUAGAAAUGACUGCUAAUACCGCAUAAGCGCACAGGUUCGCAUGAACUAGUGUGAAAAACUCCGGUGGUGAAAGAUGGACCCGCGUCUGAUUAGCUAGUUGGUGAGGUAACGGCCCACCAAGGCGACGAUCAGUAGCCGGCCUGAGAGGGUGAACGGCCACAUUGGGACUGAGACACGGCCCAAACUCCUACGGGAGGCAGCAGUGGGGAAUAUUGCACAAUGGGGGAAACCCUGAUGCAGCGACGCCGCGUGAGUGAAGAAGUAUUUCGGUAUGUAAAGCUCUAUCAGCAGGGAAGAAAAUGACGGUACCUGACUAAGAAGCCCCGGCUAACUACGUGCCAGCCGCGGC
Molecule: ribosomal RNA, 494 nt
Filed under: uncultured bacterium
Lineage: Bacteria
Description: bacterial SSU rRNA
Rfam family: Bacterial small subunit ribosomal RNA
Source: RNAcentral